RNAcentral lists this long non-coding RNA (1313 nucleotides) under Olea europaea (common olive). Its description in RNAcentral is "long non-coding RNA (OEUR_LNC014590)". The record is from RNAcentral. Lineage: Eukaryota; Viridiplantae; Streptophyta; Magnoliopsida; Lamiales; Oleaceae.
UGAAGUAUAUGGUUAGGACCUGGCUUCUGUACUUCGCAAGUUUUUAAAAAACCAAUGCAUGUUCUGAAAUGUUGAGAAAGAUAUCCAUGUUUUAGUGCUAUGUUUCAGUGCCACAAAUUUUCAGCUGUUGUAGUAAAUUGUAUUGGUGAAACUAGUCGUCCAAGUAUAAUUCUGUCCAACAGUUUCAGUUUGAAUCACAAUUGAAAUCUCUCUACGAUUUUAGUUGGGCGAUUGUCUUGGCCGGGGGUUUGGUCUUAGAACCUAUGAUUUAAUUUUUCCUCGACUAUUUAACCAACAUCUUGGGGUUCCAAUAGUUGAUAGCAAAAGUUAAAAUUAUUGAGACAUGCUAAAUGCUGAGGAAUGCUGAUUUUGCCAAUUUAGUUUAAGCUCCUUCCACUAAUUUCAUAGGCACCAAUUUUAUUUGGUAAACUAGAUCAGAUGAAAGGUUUAGUGCCAUUACUUUAAAGGGUUUAAACCAAAAAUGCAAAAGAAUAGUGUAGUAUUGGUUGCGUACUUGUGACAGUUCUUCUGUCUCAAUAUCAAUACCUUACUGGUAUUCACUUGUCAUCUUUUACUGUAGGUGGAUGACAUAUUGUUAUUCAUAUUUUUCGAAUCAACCUAACAGCUGACUUGUUGCUUUUAUUUCAUUAUUCCAGAUUCUGGUUCAAAAACGGAGAGAGUUGGUCAGAACUCAUUGCAGAAAGCCCAUCAUAGGUGUCGGCGUAAGAAACAUGAUUUGAGAAUGGUGGAUCCCAUAAGGUAGGUUGGCUUUUUGGUGAUUGUGGCUUCUUUUGGUAAUCGAAAAGGGAAAAGAAUCACUAGCAGAUGCUUGAUACAGUGCAAAUUCCAUCUUUUGAUAAGCUCUUCCAAUUUGUUUGGUCCAGUAUAAAUAAAUAUAUGGCAGUUAAGAUUUUCAUGCUGCAAAAUAGUAUUCUGCUGAGAAGGCUUUGUCAUGUGCGCUUUGGAUUGAUGCUUGGUUCUGGAAAAAUGAUUUACAAGUUCUGAUCUACUUCUGUGAUACAGAGUUUUUAUUUAUUGUCUAUUUUUAUUUUUCCCCCAGUAUAAAGUAUGAUUGAUGCCUGAAAUUUAGCCCAUGUUUGAUUCCUAUUCAUUCCCUAUUAAAAUGAAAAAAUGAUUGUUAUCCAUCACAUUAAGCCAUCAAAUUUGAAUUUACAUCUCGUGUGGGGUCCGUAACGACUAUAUUUUUCUUUCUCAUUUUGAAAAACAAUUUCGUAAUGGUGUUAAUUAUAUCUCCGAAUUUUCCAUUUACGUCCAUGUGGUGAUUUUAGUGCAUGCUACUGAAAUUUUACGAC